GACGAACGCUGGCGGCGUGCUUAACACAUGCAAGUCGAACGGAAAGGCCUGCUUUCCCUUGUGGAUUGGGGGUACUCGAGUGGCGAACGGGUGAGUAACACGUGAGUGAUCUGCCCCCAACUUGGGUAUAAGCCUGGGAAACUGGGUCUAAUUCCCGAUAGGACUGCAGGGUGGUGCCUGUGGUGGAAAACGAUUUUCUAGUGGUUGGGGAUGAGCUCGCGGCCUAUCAGCUUGUUGGUGGGGUAAUGGCCUACCAAGGCGGCGACGGGUAGCCGGCCUGGGAGGGUGGACGGCCACAUUGGGACUGAGAUACGGCCCAGACUCCUACGGGAGGCAGCAGUGGGGAAUAUUGCACAAUGGGCGGAAGCCUGAUGCAGCGACGCCGCGUGGGGGAUGACGGCCUUCGGGUUGUAAACUCCUUUCGACCGCGAGGAAGCCACCUGGUUGGAAGGGUGGUGACGGUAGUGGUAGAAGAAGCACCGGCUAACUACGUG
RNAcentral lists this ribosomal RNA (494 nucleotides) under uncultured bacterium. RNAcentral describes it as "partial 16S ribosomal RNA". It matches the Rfam family "Bacterial small subunit ribosomal RNA", at positions 28 to 507 of the family's 1533-position model. The record is from RNAcentral.